This 701-nucleotide long non-coding RNA is filed under the name Mus caroli (Ryukyu mouse). RNAcentral's name for it is "lncRNA (MGP_CAROLIEiJ_G0004604.1)". Lineage: Eukaryota; Metazoa; Chordata; Mammalia; Rodentia; Muridae. The record is from RNAcentral.
AGAGAUGCUGUGGAUGUGUUGAAGGUGGGGCAGAUUCAGGUACAACAGGAGGACCACAUGCUGUCACUGUCGGAUUUUCACUGGAGAGUCUGGACGCUCCAAGGUGGAUACCUGCCCUGUCCUGUCCAGAGGGACCUGGAAAGCAGUGUCUUUGAGGCAUGCUGCUCUGAAGACAACUCCACGUGACCACCUUUAAAGCACUCCUACCCGACUCCCAGCAGGCAGAUGGCGAGACUCAGCUCAAAGUCAUACCCUCGUAAGAGACAGAUAUUUAUCCUAGGAUCUAAAACCAAAGCUUGGAAUCUACUCAACAUGUCACAUGCUGUUCUCUCUUCCUCUGAAGACAGCAUCCAGUUGGGCCUGUCAAUCACCUGGCCAGGAGCCCACCUGCUCCUCCCUCCCCACACCAGGAAAGCUGAUUGACCUGAAGCCAUGCUAGGAGGAUGGGCAGAAUAACUAUUCCUUUUAUGAAUGUACUUUCUCUAGUCUUAAUUCAGGAAAUGUGACUCUUCAUUGUCUAUCUUUUUACAUCUCUGUCUUGGGUCCUGGCCCAAAGCCUGAGUGUGCUUUCCCCGACAGUCUGGACUUUAUUGCUCUUUCUUUGAAGCCCUCCCUCCGCCUCCUCUACCUUUUCUAAUCUAUUCCUGUCCCAGCAGCUGCCAGGCCUUACAGAUUCCCAACCCUGUUGUUUGUCUCCUAAA